GAUUGGAAAAGCAGGGACACCUUUUUCAUUAUAACUUGUUUCAAAUGGCAGAGAAUAUCAAUCACCUCUCUCUUAGCUGGAUCAAAGAGAGUAUUCGACUAUCUCAUGUCGAGUAGUGUGAAGAAGAAAUAGGUGGUACCGGUACACUAUAGUCAAGUCAUCAAAAACUACUAACACAUGAAAAAAGAGUUUGACAUUCCAAGUCUUAUGAAUUCCUUCUUUGAACCUUGAAACUACACAUUCAAACCUAGAAAAUAUGAAGAUGAGAGUUAUAAGAGUCUUGUAAAUCUAAGCAUCGAUUAUCUACCAUCUCUCUCGAAUUUUCUAAGCCACGUUACUUUCCUAUAAAUAGGAGGAUUUGUGAGGAGCUUCAUCACCCCAUCCAACAGAAGGAAUCCAAGAGUGAUAGUGAGAUAAUGUAUACCAUCUUUAAGAGAAAGAGAUUCUUAAUUCAAUCAUAGUUUGAUGAAAGUUGAGAGAUAUUGUAUACCAUCUGAGUCGGGUGAGAUUGAAAGAUAUUCUCUUGUAACAAGAAAGCUUGUAAUCCGAGUUUUCUAUCGUGGAAAUAUUUUAUUGGACUAGGUACCAUGGUUUUUUCCUUUCACAUUGAGAAGGGUUUUCACAUCAAAAAAUU
RNAcentral lists this long non-coding RNA (634 nucleotides) under Medicago truncatula (barrel medic). RNAcentral's name for it is "lncRNA gene4596". Lineage: Eukaryota; Viridiplantae; Streptophyta; Magnoliopsida; Fabales; Fabaceae. The record is from RNAcentral.